GCUCUUGUGAUCUGUGUAAAUAGUACAACAGACCCCAUAGAGGUAAUGCCUCCAAAUAUUAAGAGCGAAAACCACGGUCCCCAACUCCAAAUCACGUGUCAGAUAAUUUACAUCAUGAGGCUUCAUCUAUCUCGAAGCAUAAGCGAUCAUGCGACCCCUCUACAUCAACACUACCCCAAGUUCUAUGAUCGAAGCAUCAUAGUAAACCAUGAAAUCAUCAUCACCCUCUAAUAGGGUCAGAAUCAACGCCUCACACAACCGCUGCCUCAAAGUCUCGAAAGUUGACUGCUGCUUAGGCCCCCAGCAAAAAGUAACUGUCUUCUUGGUCAAUCGGGUCAAAGAAACAACUAUCAUGGAGAAAUCCUUAAUGAAUCUCCGAUAGUAACCUGCUAAACCAAGAAAACUCUAAAUCUCAGAUGGAGACCUCAGAACCUUCCACUACAUCAUGUCCUCAACCUUGUCCAGAUCAACCCAAAUACCAUUCUCGUUUACAAGGUGCCCCAGAAACUGUACCUCAUGUAACUAGAACUCACACUUGGAGAACUUUGCGAAAAAGUCUAUCCCAUCUUAAUGUCUCUAGCACUUCCCUCAAGUGCUCCUCGUAUUGCUCCUGAGUCUUGGAAUAAACCAAGAUAUUAUCAAUAAAUACAAUCACAUACCGAUCCAACAUCGGCCUGCACACGUGAUUCAGAAGAUCCAUGAACGCGGCUGGAGCAUUGGUGAGCCCGAAAGGCAUCACUAAGAACUUGUAAUGACCAUAACGAGUCCGGAAGACCUUCUUCUGCACAUCCUCAUCCCUGAAUCGCAUCUGAUGAUAACCCGAUCGCAAAUCAAUCUUGGAGAACCAAGAUGCACCUUGAAGCUGGUAAAAAAGAUCGUCAAUCCUCGGGAGUGGAUAGCGGUUCUUUAUGGUUACCUUAUUCAGCUUCCGGUAGUCGAUGCACAUAUGGUGAGACCCAUCCUUCUUCUUCACAAACAAAAUCGGUUCUCCCUAACUGCUUAGUCUAAUAAAUUCCUUGUCUAAUAGCUCCCGUAGUUGUGUAGACAACUCCUGCAUCUCGGGAGGAGCCAACCGAUACGGUGCCUUGGCUAUCGGAGCCGCACAUAGAACCAGAUCAAUCAUGAACUCCAUCUACCUCUCCAGAGGCACCCCAGGAAAAUCCUCCGGGAACACAUCUGGGCAAUCCUGCUGUGACAACCCGUAAUUUAUACCGUCACUGUAACCCGUUUCCGUUAAUAAAGCCGUUACGUUCCAAUUUUUCCGUUGACUUUGUUUUAAAUUAAUUUAAUUGCGACUUCUAUUUAGGUUUCAUAAGUUUCGGGAUACAUUUUAAACAUUAAAAUAUUUUCUAUAUUCGUUUGGAAAAUAUUUAGUUUCAUCUAAGUCAUGAUUACGGUAACUUAAUCGGGUAUGACCAAAAGCCCCGUUUAACGUCAGUAUCGGGUAGAUUUCCACCGGGCCAUAAACUCAACCCCCUAUAUAAGGGAUUAAGUGACAUCAUUUUGAAGCUUUUUCUCUCUCUUAAAACAUUUUCUCUCACUACUCUCUCUCUAGAACUCACGAUUGAUCCAAAACCCCCCUUUCAAGCCUCAAUUUGGUAAGCAAUCUAUCCUAACUUGUUGUCUAACUUGAUUGGUAUGAAAAUUCAUGUUUGAAUCAUCCAAAACACUCAUGAACAAGUGUUUAUGGUUUGGGAAUCCUCCCAAAACCGUGAACUCCUCUAAAGAGGGCUUUGAAGCCCCAAAACCCCUCCAAAUCACUUCUAGUGCUUAGUUAAGACCUUUGGAUUUGCAGGAAUGGACUUAGAACACCAAAAUCAUACCAUUUGAUGUAUGGACAUGAUUUUACGGCCCAAGAACAUGCUUGGACCGUAAACCCUCAUUCAUGUACCAUAAACACCUUUUUAAGGUGUUAAAUUGCCCUUAAACACCUCCAAAAGCAUCCAUGAACUUCCAUGAGUGCAUAUAACCUUAAAAUCCUUCAAGAAAUGCACCAAAACAUACACAAAUGGGACAAACUUGAGUUUACGAUCCAAGAACAUUCUUGGACCGUAAACACCUCUUCCUAUACCUUAAACUCCUCCAAUGGGUGUUAAAGUGCCCUUAACACCUUGUAUGGCUUAGAAAUGGGUCUAGAACUUAGCAUGCUUAACUUUCAACCACUAAAUCACAGGAAUCAUGGAGAAAAUGAGUUUACUGCCGUAAACUCAUGUGUUUAAGGUAGUAAACUCACCAAGAACAUCUUCAUAGACCGUAAACUCCUUUUCCAAGGUCAAUUCAAGUCCCAAUCACUUCCUAAGCCAUGGAAUCAACCCUAGAACCUUCCCAUGUGCAUUGUAAUUGACCUAGGACCACCAAAACACAUUAAAACAUAGCACACAAGAGUUUACGGCUGUAAACUCAUAGUUUACUGCCGUAAACUCCUCAAAUGGUCCUUAGGAUGUUCAAAUCUCAUUCAAAAGCCUUGAAACCAAGUCUAGCAUCAACCCGCAAGUGUUAUAUGGCCAUUUAGCAACCAAGAACACCCCCACCAUGAGUUUACAGCCGUAAACUCAUGGGGAGUUGGCCAUUUUGACCGUAAACUCCUAAAGGAGUUUACUCUUGAAGAGUAAACUCCAUAUCCAAGCCAUACACGUCCCUGGAUGCUACCCGGGUCACUCCAAACACUUGAAUUGAAGUGUUUUCGCGUCUAGAAGUGUUUACUCCUAUCUAAUUAGUGGUUCAAAGUAUAAUUAGAUACAAUUAUGUAUCAUUUCAUAUUACAUAGGAACCUCGUGCGUUAUCAAGCCCCGAACUGAUACUUAGCAUCCAAACCGACUCGUUUCCCGACUGGUGAGUUCAUACCCCUACGCCUUUUUCCGUGUUUUCAAUGUUUUCAGGGGGGGGGAAUACAAUCAAAAUAUAAAUGUUUUCGAAACUUAAAACUGAUGAAAUUCUAUAAAUAUCUAGCAAACUUUUAGAUAUCUUUACCCCUUAUGUAUUAUGCGGAGCAUAAGGGAUGUUUUAUCGAAUAUAGUCACGUGGAUUUCAAAUACAGUAAAGGAAACAAUCAAACCAAUCAAAUUAUUAUGGGAAUAAUUUGGGAUCUUUAGUUCUUGUUUUAUGGACACAGAUUUCAUGCAAAGUUAAUAGAUAAACUAUGUCUGAUUCAGUUUAUCUCUAUUUAAUUUAUAAUAUCAUGCCAAAUAAUUUCAUUGUAUUAAACUGUUUUACUGUAUGAUGUCUGACAACCACUGAGUAUACCGUGAAUAAUUUAAUACUAGCUUGUGAGAUGUAUCUUCAUUAAACCCUUCGGGUUAUCAGUAAAUCCUCCCCGAAAGUGUAACCAGAGUCUCCUGGAGGGAGAGCGUGGAAUUUGUGAAUAGAUCUAUUCAGGACUGACAAUCCCACACCUAAACUGCUAGCUACAGUUAGGCGGGCACGCCUGGGGUGACAAAUUCUGGAUAUCGUCCGAUGCCUGAAGAACGUUAAGGAGGUCUCGUGGUCAUAUUAGCAUGGUUACCCGACUCACAAUAAGUAUUAAUAUCAAAAUAUAAGUUUAUUCACGGAAUCUAUGUCUUCUCGUAAUCUAUGGUUUUACUUGAUGGUAUUCCCAGUGGUUUUAAAUCUAUAGUUUUGUAUAUUAAAACUACCUACUGUUGUCCUGGAUGGUAUUCCCAGGGAUCUUUCAAUCUUUAGUUUUAUGUAUUAAACUAUCUACUGUUGUAUCGAACAGAAAUUUAGAACUUUAACUAAAUUGUCUUUAUAAGAAAAUAUGAGAUUUUCUUGGAUAUCAACUUUUCAGAAAACCAAAGGAAACAUGAUCGUUUUACAUAAACAAAUAGCUUAUGAACUCACUAGCUUUAUGCUGAUUUUCAAACUGCUUGUAUUCUCAGGUCCACAUUAGAUAGGUACCCUCAAUCUUUUGGAGAAGAUGGAGCGUAUUAGAAGACACGUCUUACUUUUGUUCAAACUUUUGUAUAGAUAAACAUGUAUUACUUUACUUUUAAACAAAUGUAAUUAAUCAUAUGUAAUGUAAUGUUUUGUGUUUACUAUGCUUACUAUGUACAUUGGUUGUGAUACUUACAUGACGUCCUCCGCCCCGGAACGUUUCCGCCAUCGGUUUCGGGGUGUGACACCUGCAAAAUCGACACAUCAUCCACAAUCACCUUACCCUUAUCUUGGGUAUCCAUAACAUAGGUGACGUAAUCGGAACAACCGCGCUGAAAAUAGUGUCUGGCCCUCGCCGCUGAACACAAAAUCGGCCCUCGCUGAGAUCUCUCCCCAUGAACCACUAUCUUUCCCCCACUUGGGGUCCAAACCUAUAUCAAUUGUUUCACACAGUCGAUCACUGGCCCAUUAGGGCUCAAUUAAUCCACACCUACAAUAACCUUGUUCCCACACAAAGGAAUGGGAACCAAAUCUACCGCAUACUACUCGCAGAAUAAUUGAAGAGUACAACCCCGAUGAACCCUUGCAACCCGAAUACACCUAUCAGCCGCAAUCUUAACAUCAAGAGGGUAAUCCAACUCCUUUAGAGCUCCAGCAAAUCUCUUGCUAAGCGCAAGCGACACAAAGGAUCGGGUAGCCCCCGAAUCAAACAAUACCAGUGUAGAAAUACCAUUCACAAGGAACAAUCCUAAAAUAAAACACAUAAACAUAAGCAUGCAAUUCAGUAUAAAUAAAGAGAUAAGGAGAAGAUACACACCCAUCACCAUAUCGGGAGUUGAACGCGCCUCCUCGACCGUCAACUGUAAAGCCCUGCUCUUCACCAUAGGCGUGUCUGCUCGGACCUAGAGGUCAUUCGUAAUCCUCAUAGUCGCAGGAGCAGGUGCUGAUACCAGUCCUGAUAUAGCCAAACUCGAACAAUGGGCCUUCUUGUGGCCCCUCUGAUUGCAUUGAAAGCAAAUUGGAUCCGAUCCCUGAGUGGUGGUAGCAGUACAAUCCCUACUAUAAUGACCCGUCCGACCACACUUGAAUCAGCCAGAACCACCAACCCUGCACUGUCCCUCAUGCGUCUUGCUGCACUUGGCACAACGGCUCCGACCCCGGUGGCCUCUCGAUCUAGACUCAGAUACCUUGGGCCUCUUGCCCAAACCCUCAACACUCGGCAUAGAAUUUGGCUUCCUCUUCUUCUCCAUCUCCAAAUCAAUCUACCUCUCCCUAGCUUGCGCUAUCAUGUCCUCCGGCAUCUUGCAGCUAGAUCGGCCCACGAACUACCAAAUGUCACUAUGUCCUUCUUCAUCUCCUCAUCUGCCACAUAGUGCAAAACCAGAAGUGCCAUCUCCUUGAACCUAUCGGUGAUCUCGACCACCGUAUUAGUAGUCUGAUGGAGAUCUUGAAACUCUCGCACCAACUGCUGCAACUCAAUCACCGGUUCAAACUCAGCUCGGAACCUGGUCGAGAAACCAUCCCAUGAAAUCACCUCAACAACAUCAUCACCCACUGCACAUCCCACCUCCUCCCACCGGUCUCUUGCCAUGUCUUUCAAGAGGUAGGAAGCUAGUCUGAUCUUUGCCUCAUCGAGGCAACGACUGGUGCGGAAAGCAUUAGCAACGUCUGCUAACCACUGCCUACUUGCUAUGGGGUCCUUCUCCCAAUGAUAGUCAAGGGCUCCACAUGACCGGAACUCAUUGAUGGACAAGGAGCAUACACCCAUCAAAGCAUCAGAAUACACAUCCAAAAAUAUAUCGAGGGAUCAUAAACUCCACAAGCUUCCUGAUUUCAUUGCAUAUGUCCUUGAAUCGAGUAAGGAUCCUCUACUUCUAGUAGUACGGGCCCAUACUACCUUCCACAUCGAUCCGUACUUUCCUCAAGAAUUGCCUUGACUCAACCCAUUCACUUUAAAUCCAUAAAACUUCCCCUCACAUAUAAGGCUCCCAACACUAGAUCUUAUCCUAGGUUUUUCUAGGAUAAAAUCCAUACCACUCUCUGCCAUCAGCUGCAGAAGGAAUUCCCAUUAACUCCCUCUAACUAGUACAUGCAUAUAAUUACAUACCACUGAAACCAUACGAUUCUUUAAAUGAGAGGUCUCACAUUACAACGAUUAGACUUAAACAAGAGUUACACAAUAGAGUUAGAACAUAACCUUCUAAAAUUAUUUAGUUCCCAUAGCAUGUAAUUUUAGUAUAUUCGUCUACUAGUUAGCUGAAGUUAGUAAGAACUCCUAAAAUUAAAAAGCAAGCAGCAUUCGAUCAUCAAGUAACCAGAACCAAGCAUCACUUAAUAACGCCACCCUAUGACUGACUAAUCAGUACUAGCAUGCAAGUCUACAAGCUCACACAAGAGGCAUACAAAGGCAUCUCUCCUAGAAUUCUAUCAUGCAAAAACUUAGCAGAUCCUUAGCCUUAACUAGCAUGUGAUUUACAGAUUCACAGAUCAAACCAUAUCAGGUUGCAUGUAUGGGUAAUUUGGGAAAACUUACUUGAGCUUGGUCGGUUGCAUGCACUAUACCCUUUUUCUUUUAUUAGAAACCCUUUUAUAAAACUUUUUCUUUUUGAAAAAUCUACCAAACCCUCAGCUUGAGUUCAGACACACCCGAGAGUGCGUCUGAAUCCCUUAAACUAAGGCUCUGAUACCAACUUGCAACAUCCCAAAAAUACGUCCCAAAAUUUUCAUUUUUCAUUUAAUAAAAACAAUAUUCACAAACAUCAUCAAUACAUUCCAAAUAAAAUAAGUGUGUCCACAUCAUCUCAAAUUAGAGUAUAUCACAAAAGCAGCAACACAUGGUGGGUGCAACGUAGUCAUCCCAAGCUCUUCUCCUUGGAACCAGAAGUACCUAAAACAUAAACUGAAAACCGUGCUUAGUGAGUUCCCCAAACUACCCCAUACCAUACAUAAUAAACCACACACUGGGCCCGUGCUUGAUAUCGAGUCCUACUCUCAGGCCCUGCCCGACAUCGAGCCCUCUCGGUAUAUAGAUAUGUUAAUCUUAGGCCUCGCCUGACAUCGGUCCCUACCCCUCAUACAUAUAGGAAUAUGCCACAUAAUCAUGCUAACACUUGCAAAUACCAUAAUAUAAUAACAUAGGAUACAGUCAUCGGGCCUCGCCCGACAUCAGGCCCCGCCCGAUAUACAUAGUAGCACAUAACACAUGUAAGGGUCAUGUAGAUUCCUAGCAUCCUAACAUAAAUACAAGGGCUGACAUUGGUGCCUUAGACCCACUAAACCCACUGAGGAAACUCACCUCAAUUGACAAGCAAAAGAUCUUACACUUGUUGCUGCUGCGAACCGAUAAAUCCCCAAACUAUCAAUACCAAAUAACAUUCAACUAAUAAUUGGAUUCUAAUCCAUAACUAUUAGUCCAUUAUUAGGAUAAAGAGACCAUUUUAACCUUUACCUAGUUUGGUCCAAGACGAAGACCCAAAUUUUCAAUCUAACCGGCCCAAAAACCAAAUAACCAUCCAAGGCCCACAUAUGGCCCAAUUUUCUAAAUUGCGCCCAAAUCCUUACAUAGGAUUAACCUUAAGGCCCACUAAUUUUUCCGAGUCCAAACUCUUGCAUUCAGAUGGCCCAACAUGGCCCCAAGCGACUAAGCCCAAAGGAUAACCCAACCCGAAGCCUAAACAUGUGAAGUCCAUCAGACUGAGUAUGCGGGGUCUACUUAGCAUGUACGUGCAACGUACUCGUUUGAAGGCUUGUACGAUAAGCAUACAUGCUUGUACGCCUAGCAUACUCACCCAUUCAACCAAAACUUGAUUUCAAUACAUAGCUCCAAAACCUAGAUCUGACUUCCUUGAGUUGGAUUAACACGUAGAGUUACUAACUUUACGUUCAUGCAUGACUAAAUGAAGCUCUUAAGCUAAUAAGAAACUUAAUAUAUGACUUAAUGCAUGCAUGAGACCUAAUACCCCAUAAAGUUGGCACCUUUAUGCUUAGAAAGCCCUAAUAAGCUUAAAUCUAGAGGAAUAAUCCAUUUAAACGUCCAAAACCAUCAAUCAACUCAAAAGGGAGCAAAAGUGUGAAAAAUCAAACCAUAAAGAAAUCUAAGUAUUCAUAAAUCAAGGUAUGAAUUAGAUACCUCAAAGAGAUUGCAACAAAUAUGAUGAUUCUGGAUCUAUGACCUUCCUUGCAAGCAAAGCACCUUCAAUCUUCAAAGCUUCCUUCACAAAGAGUAAAACAACCAAUAAAAUCCUCUUAGGGGCUCAAGACCACCACCAAGAAGCUUAGGGGGCGCUUUAUGGUUUUAAGAGGCUUAGGGGCUGGUAAAGAGGCCAGCCCUAAGGUUUUUAGGUGUUUAUAUAGGGUGCAAUCACCCUAAAUUAGGGUUUCAAUAUGUCUCAUGUACGUCCUGCGUACAUAAUUGUAUGCCCAGCACACGUAUCUGCGUCCCGUUCCCACCUCACAUCAGUACGCUAAACUUACCAUGUGGUAUGCCCUGCGUACUCGCUUCACAACUUGUACGCCAAGAGUAGCAUGUGGUACGCUCCACGUACUGCCCAAGGACCAAAAGUGAAACUUUUAUAAUAGCAAGGGCAAUAAUGAACAUUCCAAUAUUUAAGUGUUACAGGAAACAUCGGCUUGGUAUAUAUCCCUCAUAAAUUCUACAGUACACUACCCAGUAGAAAAUAUAAGUCCAUAUAUCACCAUCAUGAUCUCCCAAGUUGUACUUGAUACGAUCUGCCCAUGAAGAGUAUUCACUUGGUAUAAGGAUAGGUGCAUGAUUUCUUGUGCCAUGACUGUGUGCAACUGAAACUGAAUAGAGAACAUUUUGGUUUUGAUUCACACUUGCCAUUGAGAACAAGUGAUACUAGUUUAAAACUUGAAAAAAAAUAUUUUUGUGAAAAUUUUUCUAAUUCUCAAAUUCGAUCACACGAGCUCUGAUACUAACCAAAAAAAUGUGAAAAUCAGUAAACCUUAGACUUGAAGAGUCUAAGUGUUGAAAAGACUGAAACAGAGUUUCAGAAUCGUCAAGUGGCAAGUAAUGCGGAAAAUAAAGAGUUGUGAAUCAACCAAGUCUAUGAUAAAAACAUUUUUGUAUGUUCAAGAUCAAUGAUUAAAAAGUGUCUUAUAUUCAUAAAGAUUUAGUUACUAGUGUUUGAAAUUGUAAACACACUAAAACACUCAAAUGAUUUUUACUCGAUUCUUAAUAAACAUUGCUUAAACCAUCCUUAAUAAACAUUUCCAUCACCUUCAUUUAUAUUAUUAACAAAAACUAUAUAUCUUUUACUCCGUUUCCAAUGUGAGAUAGAUAUAGACAAACUUGUAAAUCAAUUAACUAGGAAAUGUUUAUUAUGGAUGGUUUAAGCAAUGAUCCUAAAAAUUUGAUCAUCAAUUUUAGUUUGACACUAUAAGGUAGGUUCUAAAUUUCUUCUUAAUAUUAUUCCUAUAUAAUUUAUUAUAAGAUUUAAAAAAUAAGAUAAUUUAUAGGACCCACCUAGUUUAUAAGUAAACUCUUCAUUACAUGUUUUUUUUAAAAGAGCAAAAUGAAUUCCGUUGCCAGGACUUGAACCCGGGAACUCUUCAUUACAUGUUCUUUUGCGUUGCAAUAUAUAAUGAUUGCAUCAUACAUGCUCAUAUACUUCAUGUGGGUGUGUUUGACUCAUUGACUACACGUGUCGUUCUUUCAAAAACAUAUAUAUCAUCAAUCUCAACUGUAACCGUCCAACAAAUCUUAUAUCACAUUCUUCAUCGGUUACUUAUUGUCAUUAAACGAAAAGUAGGACCACUUCUACUCUAUAUAUAUUUGAUCCCUAAACUAGAAAAGAUUCACCACAACACCAAAUCAGCUCCACCGGAGUGAUUUCGACAUAGAAGAUAGCCAACCGGUUUCAGAAACCCUAAAACUACAAACUAUGGGUAUCAAUGUGCAAGGUCUCAAAACUUAUGUGUAUGACCUGAAGUACAUUAGAAACCCGAGGGUACCAGAGUGCACUAAAUUACCAACCCUCCCCUCGCCAAAAACACCUGUUGAGUUGACCAGAGCACGCAUUCAACAAGCUGCUCCAUUGUCCACAAUGUCUGGCCCUGAAUGCUGCGAGAACCCACCUACACUUUCCUCCGGCGGUGAAUCCGGCGAUGUCCUGCAGAUCGCCUCUCUCAAUUCUUACGUUACCGGGAACACUGAUUCGAAGAUCGCCGUUGUUCUGAUUUCCGAUGUUUAUGGUACGCAACAUCACUCCACUCUUUAGUGUUCUUAUUUACCAACUCUAACUACUGUAAUCAAUGAUAAGAUUUAUAUCUGGAUGUUCACUAGUCACUCUUGCAAAAAUUAUGUUUUAAUCCAUAAAUAAUUUACCUUUCAAGAAGCUAAUUCAUUAAAACACCUGUAUUUUAUAACUUUGAAGCCUAUCUUUUAAAAUCACUAACCCUUUUUUGGUUUGCAAGUCAACCAUAGUUUGUAUGAUCAUCUUAUUGCUCUAAUUUGUUUGCGUCUGGUAUCUUUUGUGCAGGUUAUGGAGCUCCAAAAUUGAGGUAUGGCUUGUCGCAAGAACAUCCCCUUAUAUUAAAAUUUUUCUUUUCUAUGGAUUAAUUUAUUGAUUUGAUCAUUAGUUCCUUCUGGAAAAUAAGAUUACGAUGUUUAAUUUUAAUUUUACAGGAAACUUGCAGACAAAAUUGCCUCUUCUGGGUAUUAUGUAGUUGUCCCUGACUUCUUCCAUGGAGACCCCUUGAUUCCUGAUUCGCCGAUUCAAGAUUGGCUAAAGAAUCAUGGACCGGUUGGUUUUCUGUCUAACACACACCUCAUUAUCAGUUAAAUUUUAUUGUUUUCCAUUUCCAAAUGUUUCAAACUUCAAAUUAUAUAAAUUAGCAAGUUCUGUAAGAAGUGAUAUCUACCUCGCACUUAAAAGAAAACACCAUGAAUAAAUUAAUGGUAUAGUUUCAAUUCUAGAUUUCCAAUGUCAAAUAACAUUCCUUAUUUAUACCUUUUUUCGUCUUUUCUUUUUGUAGGUGGAAGCAGUAGCAUUUGCAAAAUCGGUUAUUCAGGCUCUGAAAGAGAAGGGUAUCUCUAAAAUUGGGGCUGCAGGAUUCUGUUGGGGUGGUAAGAUUAGCUUCACAUCAACUUUGUUAAUACAUGCCAAACACAGUACAAGACUGUCAUGUUCUGUCUUGUCCUGUGUAACAAAUCGGGCUUGGUUGACUCAGUUGACUCAAUUGUUUUUUUUUUAGCCAAGGUGGUUGUUGAGUUAGCAAAAGAGGCUGAAAUACAAGUUGCUGCUCUCUUGCAUCCUUCAUUUCUCACUUUAGAUGAUAUCAAGGGUAUGUUUCAUUCAACAACAUUUAUCAUUUUCCCUCAUUUCUAGAAACCUGUACAUGUUUAAAUACUUCAAACCUAAAUCAAAAGGUUAAUUUUCUGUAAUUUCUGAGCUUUUUUGAAUUUUUUUCUUGAUGAUAUGAUGGUUUUUAGGGGUUAAGGUUCCUAUUGCAAUACUGGGUGCUGAGAUUGACAGAAUGUCUCCACCAGAACUUGUCAAAGAAUUUGAGCUUGCUUUAGAAGCAAAACCAGAGGUAACUUCUUCGAGCUUUUGUAAAGUGUACAUUUUUUUUUCCACCUUUAACUUUACUUUGUAAAGUCUACAACUUUUCUUACACCUUUAAUAAUGUAAAAGAAAAUAGGUAUGCACUCUAAAAUUUAACCAAUUUUAGUAAAGGUCGUCUAAAUACAAAUCAAUGGUGUAAUUGGGUAGAAUAUUCCAAAUUAAUGUCCUUAUAAGAAAAAAAAAAAAUAGAGAAAGUACAAUGUCAUAAUUGUGUAGAUUUUUAAAAAGUAUAAUGUCAUAAUAAGCAACAAAAUUGAAUGUACAAUGUUCUAAUAGAAAGAAAUAUAAGUAGGAUGCGAGUCUGUAUCCCACUUUUUUGUGUGGGACGAAAAAUUUCGAUUUUUUUCCAUUACCAUCAGACUGUUUCAGUCCAAUGCAUGUCAAACACAGUUAUGUUCUGUCAUGGAUCCAACAUAUGAACAACAGGCAAGGAAGGAUAUAUAAAUUUAUGUUGGUCUGCAGAUUGAUCAUUUUGUGAAGAUAUAUAAUGGGGUUUCGCACGGUUGGACUGUCCGAUGGAAAGAUGAUGAUGAAAUCGCGGUGAAGUGUGCAAAAGAGGCGCAUGAGGAUCUUGUGGCUUGGUUUGGCAAGUGUCUUGUAUAAAACCAGUUAACCCUGUAAAACAUAAUAAUGUAAAACAAAGAGAGAUGGAGAUGAUAGAGAACACUCCAUUUACAAAUAAAUAAAGUGUUGUGAAGACUUUGUAGUAAGUUUUUAAUACAAAGUUAAAAUUGUGAUUUGGAUCGUGAUGUUGUUCUUUGAUGAAUUUAGUUUUAUGUUAAUCGUAAGGUUGUUGAAUAAGUGUUGAUUGAGAGAGGAUUGGUCCGUAAGGUUGUUCAUGGGUAAGAUGGGAUGGUUCUAUAAUGGAUAAGUUUUUUAUGACUAAAUUCGAUUAUUAGGGUGAGGUUAUUUAUGUUUUUUGCACAUUUGAGAGAUUGAAAACAAGUACAUCCAGUCUUCAGUCUUUUUAUGCUUAUGUGGACCGGUCUGAACCAAAAUGCUCGAUGUUAGUCCCAGAUCAAGAAUAAAACACUAAAAACUGAAUAUUGGUUAAAAUCUAUUAUAAUAAAUGAAAGUUUUUUUGCCACUUGUCAUUCAUUCAAUUUGCGAAAUGUCAUUUUGUGGUUAUUUUAAAUUAAUUUUUUCCACAUGUUAUUUUAUAAGUUUUUCUAAUUUAUUAAAUUCUAUAUAAUAUUUUAAUGUACUAAUUGCAAUAAAUAUGAUAAUAAAUGAAUAUAAAUUUCAUUAAUCAACUUACCUUUUAAUUUCAAAAUUCUAAAAAUUAAGGCUUAUUAAUUUCUUUUGUUUAUUUAUUUAAUUUUUUUUUAAAAUUUAAAAGAUAAAAAACAUUUUCAUUAUAAUAAUUUAUUAUUUUUCUUAUUCUCUUAUAAAUUAAAAGUUCUUAAAUAUUUUGACCUUUAUAUUUAACUUUUUGUUUUUUUUUUUAAUUAACCUAUAUAAUACAUGAGUCUCACAACUAGUAUUUAUUAAUUACGAUUUCUAAACAAAGAGAAUAAAUUGUAAAAAAUCACAAUUUAUUAGCACAUUCUCUAAUUUCUCUAUGAUAGCUAAAACUUAUUGAUCUCACAAAACUCAUGCAUAAAAGUAUAUGAAAACCUAGAAUGAGUAUUAUAUAAAUAGUAAUCUAGAAUAGAUUUGAAAUACUCGGUGCAAACAUAGUACUUCAAUUCUUAUAUUGAGUGCAAAUGUCUUAUCUUUAUCUUCGCUUUGUACUUCCAAAUGACUUGAUCUUCAAUAUAUUCUGAUAACUAAGACUAAUAUAUUCGGAUAACUAAGACUGAGUUCAAGGUUGAUAAGAACUCCGCGUAUGUAAUUAAUAGUCUUAAAAUCAUUAAAUUAAAGGGUCCCAUCAUAACAAUCUUCACAAAUUUAAUGAUGUCAAAACCAACUAUAGAAAUUACAAAUAAAAACUACUCUAUACAUGUCUCUUACAAAAUCCAAGAUUUUUCUAUAUUUUUCAUUUUUCCUAAAUAAAUCAGUGAUAGAAAUAAAAAAUGCACCCGUUUCAACCAACCUUUGAAUAAUCUUGAAACUAUUCAACUUCGUCCAAAAUUUCCUUCUUGAUAAUUUUGGAUGUUUCAAUUUUCGCUCCUUUUUCACCAAUCUAGAAAGAUUAGCAUUUGAUAGCCUUUGCGAUCUCGGUCUAUUAUAUGUAUUCUUGACUAACACAUUUCCAUUUUUCCUCGACUUAGCAUUACAUAAACCACGAAUUCACUUGUUUUCUUCUACAAUCAUAACAAAAUACACAUGUUAUAUUUAGCUAAACUUUUGAGGAUGUUAAUAUUCUAUACAUGCAUAGAUCUAUCAUACACAAACAUAAUAGAAAUGGGUCGACUAGGAGAAAAAGAAGAAAAAUAUGAGAAAGAAGGUGACAUAUGAUGAGAUGCACCGAAAUCCAAGAUCCAUCAUGCUUGAAGUAGUAAACGGAUACAAACGUAAAUGAGACAUAAAUGCUUACAUGUAAUCAAUAUUCAAAGCAAGGGACUGUUUGAAUUCCUAAAAAACAUAAGGAUCCAAAGCAGAAGAUGGUGUGGUGGUAACAUGAACAUUUUGUAACAUCCCAAAAAUACAGUGUAAAUUUUUUAUUUUUAAAUCAUUAAUAAAACCAUAGUAAUCCAAACAUCAUAUAAAAAAACCAUAAAUCGUGUAUCUCAAAUUAUCAUAACAUCUGUCAAAAUAUAUCAGAGUAUAAACAUCCCAAGCUAACCAAAUGGUGUGUGCACUGCAAUCAUCCCGAGCUCUUUCCCUUGCUACCGAAAAUACCUGAAACCAAAACUAAAAACUGUAAGCACGAAGCUUGGUAGAGUCACACAUCUUGACUUUACUAUCUCCAAGAUCUUUCAGGUAGUUUGGGUAGCUUCACAUCCAAUGUCCCUUUAAUUGUCAAUAGAAACAUAUGGACUCUUCAGGAAUAGCACAUGGGACUAUCUCAAAAUUAGCCUUUCACUUUACCAUAUAGUCAAAUAGUUUGACCUUGACUGAUCCCUUUCCUUUGGGAAGAGAAACCUUUUAUGGACUACCAAUGUUGCCAUUAUCCAUGGAAAUUGGGGAUACAAAUCUCUAAACCAUGUUUGUUUGACUUGUGCUCUUAAGCAUAUCUACUUCAGCACAAAUCAACAUAUAUGUUAGAUUAAUUAGGGUCACGUCGUUGUUAGUCAUAUAGAGUUCUUAAUGAAAUGACUAUAUGACUCAGGAAGCAAGUGAAGAACCAAAUCAAUGGCUAGCUCCCUUGGGAAAACGACACCCAACAUUCCCAAUCUGUUAAUGUGUGACAUCACAUAGAAUUUCCAUCUAGGUGUUUGGAUGUCAACAGGGCUUGAAUAACCUUGAACUUUUCAAGUUGAAGAAAACGUGGGUUGGGGAGGAUCACUGGAGGGGGUGAAGGAAGAGUUGGAGAAACAUGAUUUCCAGUUCUACCAUUUGAAAAAGGGAACAUCCUUUCACCUUGAUCAACUUGUGGAAGAUCAUCUUCAGAAGGAAAACCAUUUCCAGAAGGACGAGAAAGACCAUUGUUGUCUGAAAUCGACAUUUAUAAAGGGAGAAAAGGAUUCGAGUUAGUUGAUUUAUUUAAUCCUUCAUUAUUAACACAAAAUUUAAAUUAAGGCUAGGAUCCAUAUUUUCGAUUCGAAUUCUGAAGAGGGAUUUCGUAAUCAAAUUCAAAUCUAUUUUAGGUAGGUAAAGUAUUUACCAAUUUCAACCUUAUGAAACUCCUAGAUCUUUGAGAUUCAUUGAACCAUUCAAUGGCAUGUUUAAUCUCGAUUAUGCUCUCACUUUUGUGACUGGGAUGCCGAGGAUCACAAACGAGAUUUGAAUAACCAUGCAACUUAGUUUGGUACUCUCGAUGUCAUUUAUCAUCUAAUUAAUGUGCCGUUUAACCACACACACUCCAUUAAUCAAUAAUAAUUUACGAGACACCCAUUGCCAACAAUAUUAGUUCAUAUUAGUGUGUCGGUUAACCACAUACGCUCCACUAAUGACAAAUAAGAUGCAAUGUGCAAUUUCAUGGGUUAACAUCAAAUUCACAUUUUUCCUAAAGUAACUAAGAAUGGGAUUUUAGAAAAUCAUUUAGUUACUUUAUAAUUCAUUAUACUUUUAAUGAGAGUUUAUAGUUCUAUCAAACCUGUUCAGCUAACGACCCCUCACUAGUCAAGAGACCGGUGGGUAAGAGUAGAUACCCAAUGACGUUCAUUUUAUAGGUCACUUCCUUAAACUCCUCUUAUCGACUAGCUUCGUGAAUGAGACCUACUAACGGUAAGAGUGACUUUUCUUAUACACAUAUAUAUAAAUUAAACUCUUAAUCUUACAUAUAGUAUAUGGUGUAUUCUAAACAUUUUAAAAUACUAAGGGUUUAAUCUUAUAAUAAAUUAAACUUUUAAUUUAAUUAAAUUUAAACCAUAUAUGGAUUUAUAAAAUCAAUAAGGAUAUAUUUUAGGGUUUCUCAUUUUAAAUUCCAAAAUUAAACCGUUUAAUUUUAAAUUUUAAACAACCCAAAAAUAUUAUUUAAUCCAAUUAAUAAUUAUCUAACAACCAAUAUCCAUAAGGAUAAUUAUAGUCAAAUAAAUCAUCAUUAUCUAAUUCAUAGUUAUCUCCUAACAUUUAGGGUUUUUAUUGAAUUAUCUUAUAUUACCAAAAACAGAUUAUGGUAGAACAAACCAAAGACAAUUACCAAAUAUAAACCUAGUAAAUCAAGUUAGAAAAGAAAAUCCGAAAACAUAUCUGACGCACCAAGUCAACGAGUUGGAGGACCAAACUCGACAAGUUCUAAGAGCAACUCGAGUUCAAUGAACAGAAUGUCGAUUAUGUUCCCUUCUCCUUUGAGGAAUUCACAAUUGCAUCAUAUUCAAUAGAAAACUAAUCCUAGUCUCUAAUAUUACUGAUGAGUUUUGAGCAAAACAUAUAAUCCUAUGUGUGCAUGCAACCCUAAUUGUUUUGGAUAUAGGUUUACUCUUAUUAAACAUGUAAACUUGAACAACAAAGAAGAAACCUUAGGUUCUAUGUAUUAUAAUCAAAAUUCACAUAAUAAAGGGUUAUAAUACAUAUCUUUAAGAUUUUUAUUGUAAACAAUCUUGAAUCCUUUCUUGAAAGACCUUUGGUAGCAACCGCGCACAAGUGUCGCACCCCUAAUGGCUCACAAUCAAACUCAAGCAACCAAGGAUUACUAUAGAGAGAGAGAGAGAAGGGAAGAAGAAUUUCGGCUCUAAGCCUUUUCUAAGAGUGUAUAGCCAAAAUUCCUUAUUUGGUAGGGUUUAUAUAGGUGUUAGGAAGGUAUUGGAUUAGUCAGGUAUAUCCAAGAUAAACCUAAUCCCUUCACUUCCUCCUUAAGGCAUCCAAGGCACCCUUAGAGCCCAAGGAAACCCUAGGAGCAUCUAAAUUUCGUUUCCCUUACCAUAGGGAGGUUUUAAAAUUGCCCAAUACUCAACUAUUGAACAUUGUAACGUUUAGUCCCUGCAGUUUCAAUUAAUUCUUUUAAUCCCAAAAUUAAUUCCAAAUUAAUUUCUAAUUAAAUAUUAAUUAAACAUUAUGAUUUCUAAUUAAUAUAUUAUUUCCAUAAUACAUUAAUAAAUCAUUUAUUUUGAUUUCUAAUUAAUUUAUUAACCAAGUAAUAAAUUAAUAAAUUAUUCUUUUUUCUCUAAUAUUUAUUCUAUUCAAUUGUUAGAUUUGAUGGCAACCCAAAAGGACAUUGCUACUAUCAAUUCAACUACAUACCAAUUAUAGUUAUGAGCUUAGACAGCUAAUCCAAUAAGAUGAACAUGGAAGAAUCUCGAUCGAGAUGAGGUCAGGUGUUUAGAUAUGAAAUUUGACCAUAGUACCCUCAAAUACUUUGCCCUAGGGAAGAAAAGCAUAAAAAGUUCAAACUAAUUGCGAAAAUGCCACCGUGCAUUUAAUUAAAAAAAAAAAACUAAAAUCUAAAUUUAUAACAGCCACAUUUUUUGAGAUUAAUGGUUCGAAUUUGUCCUUAUAGUCCUCACCAAAUUUUGAGUCUUCACCUGAUCUUAGUUUUAUAAAAUUUAAGAGUUGACUUGGUGAAUUUAAUUUAUAACCACUAAUUAGCCGUUUUAAAAAAUAAUGAUAAAUUAGUUAAAUUUACAAAAAUAAAAAGAAAACCAUGAAAAAGAAAAAAUUAACCAUUGAAGAUCCACUUAGUUUGAAGUUAAAAUGUAACACCGAAAUUUUCAAAACAAAAUUUUCAUUUAAAAUUACUUAUCUCUUUAAUACUUUUCAUAGAAAUCCCAUUUUAUUUAAAUUACAAUACAUGACUCUUUUGUUUAAUCAAUUGAUAAAACAAAAUCCUCAAACAAGCGCUUCCUCUGGUGUGUACAAUUGAGCCGGUGCCGUCCCGUGAACCUGAGAAACCUGAAACACAUAACACAAAACACUGUAAGCACGAAGCUUAGUGAGUUCCCCAAAAUACCACAUACAACACAUACGCCAAUCAAGGCUACAAUACGACCCUCCGGUCGGUGUGUCUCAGCGGAACCCUCCAGUUCCGUAUCGUUGGACCCUACGGUCCGGUCUGUAUCGUUGGACCCUCCGGUCCGGUCUAUAUCGUUGGACCCUCCGGUCCGGUCUAUAAACUUCGCAUAGCAUAAAUCACAAAGACAUAAUGCAUAGCAUUUCACAUAUAACAUAAUACUCAAUGUGAGCACAUAAGACCCUCUGGUCACACAUAACUACCACUCAAGGUAACGUAUAAUGAGAAGACUCACCUGCUACUGCCGACUGAAGAACAAUCCACGUUGCUCCGACCAUCAUCAUGAAUUCCACCACUGAAUCACCGAAACCACUAAUUACCAAUAACAACCAAAUUACUCCUGGAAGUCAACUGGUCAACUCUUGGUCAAAGUCAAAGUCAACCCUCCUGGUUAACCCUGCUUGCCGAGUCAACCCGUCGACUCGUCGAGUCCCCAUGCUUAGAAUUUCCCCAAUCCGCGACUCAACUCGCCGAGUCACCCCGAGACUCGCCGAGUCCAACAACUCUGAGUCCACUCGCACACAACUCACCGAGUCAUCCCUUGACUCACCGAUUCUCGACUCAACCAGAAAAUAUUGGGACUCUUCGACAAGACUCGCCGAGUCCAAGNNNNNNNNNNNNNNNNNNNNNNNNNNNNNNNNNNNNNNNNNNNNNNNNNNNNNNNNNNNNNNNNNNNNNNNNNNNNNNNNNNNNNNNNNNNNNNNNNNNNNNNNNNNNNNNNNNNNNNNNNNNNNNNNNNNNNNNNNNNNNNNNNNNNNNNNNNNNNNNNNNNNNNNNNNNNNNNNNNNNNNNNNNNNNNNNNNNNNNNNNNNNNNNNNNNNNNNNNNNNNNNNNNNNNNNNNNNNNNNNNNNNNNNNNNNNNNNNNNNNNNNNNNNNNNNNNNNNNNNNNNNNNNNNNNNNNNNNNNNNNNNNNNNNNNNNNNNNNNNNNNNNNNNNNNNNNNNNNNNNNNNNNNNNNNNNNNNNNNNNNNNNNNNNNNNNNNNNNNNNNNNNNNNNNNNNNNNNNNNNNNNNNNNNNNNNNNNNNNNNNNNNNNNNNNNNNNNNNNNNNNNNNNNNNNNNNNNNNNNNNNNNNNNNNNNNNNNNNNNNNNNNNNNNNNNNNNNNNNNNNNNNNNNNNNNNNNNNNNNNNNNNNNNNNNNNNNNNNNNNNNNNNNNNNNNNNNNNNNNNNNNNNNNNNNNNNNNNNNNNNNNNNNNNNNNNNNNNNNNNNNNNNNNNNNNNNNNNNNNNNNNNNNNNNNNNNNNNNNNNNNNNNNNNNNNNNNNNNNNNNNNNNNNNNNNNNNNNNNNNNNNNNNNNNNNNNNNNNNNNNNNNNNNNNNNNNNNNNNNNNNNNNNNNNNNNNNNNNNNNNNNNNNNNNNNNNNNNNNNNNNNNNNNNNNNNNNNNNNNNNNNNNNNNNNNNNNNNNNNNNNNNNNNNNNNNNNNNNNNNNNNNNNNNNNNNNNNNNNNNNNNNNNNNNNNNNNNNNNNNNNNNNNNNNNNNNNNNNNNNNNNNNNNNNNNNNNNNNNNNNUAUAUAUAUAUAUAUAUAUAUAUAUAUAUAUAUAUAUAUAUACACACACACACACACACAAAGAGGUAGGUUCCAUUGAGAUUAAAAAUAAAAUAAAGAUCUUGAGAUUCAAUCUCAACCAUAUAUUUCACAUUUGUCGCUGUAACCUCCGUCAUACCGACACGAAAUGCCUGUUAUAAUUAUAAAUGAUUAUAUAGCAUCACUCGUUCCUUUUUUCUCCACCACUAUCCCCACCACCACAACCGCCAACGACACCACCACUACCACCACCUCUAACACCAGCUAACCCUACCACUCACCUCCGUCACUUAUACCACCGCUACCUUUGUCACCACCACCUCUUCUGGCACUGAAUGACAUAUAUGUAUAAUCAUUUAUGAUUAGACAUAUACGUAUAAACAUGCAUAAUCAUAUAAAUUAUACCUCUCUGCUAUAUAAGCAUUUAUGAUUAGGCAUGCUCUGUUGUUGUCGGUACGCUGGAGCGUUAAAGCGGCAAAAGUACGACUUUUUUGGAUUAGUGGUCCUUUUGAGGUAGUUUCGUUGCGUUUUUGGUCCCUCGGUAAACUUAAAUGACUGUAAUGCCCUUGGGGUAUUUAUUUUUCAUUUUUCUUUCAUUAUUUUAAAAUCUAAUUGUUUUUUAUUUAUUUUAAUAAUUAAAAAAAGUGGGGCCACCUCUCUCUAUCUCUCUCUCUCUGUCUCUCUCUCUCGUGAAAAAGAAAUUCACCCCUAACUCACUUCUUCAUCUUCUCCAAUUCAUAUCAUAUCUGAUGAACACAGAUACACACUUCUAAAUUAUAUGAACACGUAGAGUUUUCAGAUUCUAUUUCUCAUACAAACACACUUCUAUAUUUUUAUAUGAAGAUGGUCACAGAUAUGGAAGGAGGUGUGAUAAUGACUACAUGGGAACAUCGGAAGUCAGAGAUAGCUACAAGACCCGUCAUCUCCAUUCACUCUGAUUCAGCGGUAACCCUAAUAUGAUCUUCAUAGCAACGACGUCGAAACCUUAAUCGGAGUUAGGGUGUGUUGUGGCUCCGGCGACCUCAUGCUUCAUCUCUAUCCUUCCGCGAUUGAUCCAAUCUUACUGCUUUUUACCUAUUUCUCAACGUAUAUACAUACAGAUAAAUGUAUAUACUUCUAGUUUAAUUUUCAUCUUCAUCUAUUUCUGGUUUAAUUUUCAUAUUUCUCACGUUCUCUUUUGUUCUCUCAACAGGUAAUGCUCACUGGCAUUUGUUAGAAUCAAAUUGGGUUUGGAUCUAUUAAUCUAAUUAAAAAGGGAUUGGAAGUGGGUUGAUUUGGGAAUCGAGGUUUGUGUUGAUUGGGAUAUUGUUUCCUCAAAAUCUAUUAAAACGGUAAUGGGUUNGAGAGAGAGAGAGAGAGAGAGAGAGAGAGAGAGAGAGAGAGAGAGAGAAGGGAGAAAUUGAUUUUGGAGACGGUAAUCUAACCGGGAAUAGUAGCAACAGACGAUAAUCUGUUAAGGUGCUGGAAUUGAUUUUGGAGAAGGAGGAGGGUCACUAGAGGGAAGCGAGAGGGACUUCUUGAUAGUCACUGAAAUGGGUCUUCUUCUCCUCGAUCUAGUGUGUGUAAGUGUGUUCCUAGUGAAAGUGGGUGAAGAACUUUAAGGUUUUUUGUGGGUUAAUCCAAGUUGUUGGAAUCUGAUGUUGAAAUGGAUUAUGAAUGAUGUUUAGAUCGCUGGUGGGUUUGCACAGGAGAGAGAGAGAGAGAGAGAGAGAGAUGGGUCCAAUUUAAUUAUUUAAUUUCUUUUUCAUUUAAAUUAAAUAGAAAAAAACAUAAAAUAUAAAUACCCCAAGGGCAUUACAGUCAUUUCAGUUUACCGAGGGACCAAAAACACAACGAAACUACCUCAAAAGGACCACAGAUCCAAAAAAGUUGUGGUUUAAACUAAAACCCCAAAAAAAUACAUGCCAUAUAGGGCGUGUUUGGCACGGAGCUUUUGGAAGCGUUUGAGAGCUUCUAGCUUUUAGCUUUUGACAAAACGCUCUAGUUUAAACAAAAAGCUUUGUUUGGCAGUACAAGCGUUUAGCUUUUAGUUUUAACAAAACGCUCCGAUUCUAAAAGCUACUUCAUGUAGCUUUUAACAAAACGCUCCGGAGCUUUUGAAAUCAAUUUCCAUAAUUACCCUUAAAAAUAUAUUUAUAUAUUUUUUUAUUUUUAAUCAAUUGUCCUUUUAUGUAAUUUUAUAUAUUUCAAAAGCUUCCAGCUACUUUUGCCAAACAUUCAUAUAACAAGUAAAAGCUACAGCUUCCCGCUACCAGCUACUAGCUACCCGCUACCCACUUCCAGCUAACAGCUACUUUUGUCAAACACGCCCAUAAACUUUUUUGAAUUUUAUCUUUUUUUUUUAGUUCGACAGUACGAUACGAGGAGUCCAUUUUAUUAUUAUUUUUUUUCUUAAUACUUUUCCUACAAACUGCAAUUAACCAACCCUAUCCAUUUGCCAACAAGGCAACAACACCUGUUGAGUUACAAGAGCACGCAUUCCACAACCUACUCCAUUGCCCACACUCCACAAUGUCUGGCCCAGAAUGCUGCGAGAACCCACCUACACUCUCCUCCGGCGGUGAAUCCGGUGACGUGCAGAUCGCCUCUCUUAAUUCUUAUGUUUCAGGGAACACUGAUUCAAAGAUCGCCGUUGUUCUAAUUUCCGAUAUAUUUGGUACUCAACUUCACUCCACUCUUAGUAUUCUUAUUCACCAAC
RNAcentral lists this long non-coding RNA (22175 nucleotides) under Lactuca sativa (garden lettuce). RNAcentral describes it as "long non-coding RNA (LSAT_LNC005521)". Lineage: Eukaryota; Viridiplantae; Streptophyta; Magnoliopsida; Asterales; Asteraceae. The record is from RNAcentral.